GUGCUUUCUUCGGCAGCACAUUUACUAAAAUUGGAACGAUAUAGAAAAGAUUAGCAUGGCUCCAGUCCAAGGAUGACUGACAAAUUCAUGAAGUCUUGGAGUAAUAC
Small nuclear RNA from Callithrix jacchus (white-tufted-ear marmoset), 107 nucleotides. The record is from Ensembl. Lineage: Eukaryota; Metazoa; Chordata; Mammalia; Primates; Cebidae.